CCCCUCCAGAUUCCUGACCCAUCAGACCUGAACACUGGUCAGAGUGGUGGUAAGAGGAGGAGGGGUCCAGUGGAAACUGACUUAAGUUCUGGUGUGACUCACAAGCUGGUGUCAAGCAAAA
Molecule: small nucleolar RNA, 121 nt
Filed under: Echinops telfairi (small Madagascar hedgehog)
Lineage: Eukaryota; Metazoa; Chordata; Mammalia; Afrosoricida; Tenrecidae
Description: Small nucleolar RNA SNORA61 (ENSETEG00000024465.1)
Source: RNAcentral